UCCAUCCGUUCGCUAUCGCUCUCUAUCAAGAAAAAAUACCUUAUCCUUAUCCCUUUCCCCGUCUCACCACGGAGGUGGAGAAAAAGCACGGGAGCACGCCGGCGUGACGCCUGGGAGGUCGAUGUGGAGGCGGUGGAUCGGACGAGCCCGACGAGCGGUCCGCCCAGGAACUGGAGCUGCAGCGCCGCCGGCUUUUCCUCCCAAUUUCUUCGAGCGGAGCUGGAGCGAUGCCCCUGCUCCUCUUGUGCACCGUGAUUUGCCUUCUCAUCCAUGUUGGUCGCGAGGGUUUCUGCCCCGCUGCCGGGAAGCCGUGCGCGGAGUCUGCAUAUUAAGGUGUUGGGGACGCCAAAGACAGAGAAGAAGGGCAAUGGAGAUGUCGAUUUGUCGUUGUUAGAGAUAUACCUUUGAUGAGAUGAUGAAGAUGGAGAAGGAAGGCAACCAAAACGGGCGAAGAGAGGUGGAUAGAAAAUAAUUCUAAAAAAUACAGUAUUAGUCGCAUCACACGGUAGAGGGAGUUGCUCGGUCCAUACCCGUAGUUGCUCAAAAACCUGAUGCAUCGUUUUUUAUACUUGUGUAUAUAAUGCAUCUAUAUAUAUGUGUUACUGCCACCUAUAUAUGUUGUCCUGUACUUGUUAUUUUGUGGUUCUUUUAUUAUUUUACACAAGGGUUGCCUGAUAUUAUUGCAAGGAGCUUAUAGGGGCUGCAGCCCCCCUUUUUAAUGCC
This 723-nucleotide ribosomal RNA is filed under the name Triticum aestivum (bread wheat). Its description in RNAcentral is "partial small subunit ribosomal RNA". The record is from RNAcentral. Lineage: Eukaryota; Viridiplantae; Streptophyta; Magnoliopsida; Poales; Poaceae.